Molecule: long non-coding RNA, 2546 nt
Filed under: Gigantopelta aegis
Lineage: Eukaryota; Metazoa; Mollusca; Gastropoda; Neomphalida; Peltospiridae
Description: uncharacterized LOC121373342
Source: RNAcentral
AAAGCGUCUGCCAGUUUUGUGUUGUUGGAACCAGGUUUUGCCAGGUUUCUCUGUUUUGUGGCAGAAAAUGGUAGAAUUUGGGUCUGGUCCAGUAAAGGAGACGAUCGACAAUACUGUAUUUAUCGUGCCCGGAAUCAUCAUCGCUGUUUUAGUAGUAUUCUUCUCAUACAAACUGAUAGCCAGUCUGCGGCAAAAGGAACGAGCUAAAGAAGACAAGAAGAAAUUAAAACAACAAAGGAAAGAAAAAGAACAACAGAAGAAACAGAAGAAGAAGUAGACUUAGGUGUGAUCAGCUCUUCAAAUAGCUUCAAACCACCGACAGAUUGUGACUGCAAGGAUAUAUAUAUUUAUAAGAAAUUCUCGACUCGGGUUUUACAGAUUUGCAAGACCAAAUCUGUGGUGAUGGUUGUGUAUGCAUCAGUGGACAGUGUUAUAGAAUAUGUUGAGGGCUUUACAUAACAGAGGGUCUGGGGUGUAGAAAUAUUUAUUGUAAUGAUCGUCACAAGUCAAACACUAUAACUGAUGAAAAGGGGUUCCUCCCAGAAGCAUAAGGCCCAAAACACACUGGGUCUGGGUCUGGCGAAUGUGGCACAGACGCCAUGUGUAUUUUUAUGUCUGGGUCUGGGUCUAGGUCUGGCGAAUGUGGCACAGACGCCAUGUGUAUUUUGACGUCUGGCGAAUGUGGCACAGACGCCAUGAUGUGUAUUUUGACAUCUGGGUGUGGCAAAUGUGGCACAGACACCAUGUGUAUUUUGAUGUCUGGGUCUGUAACUGUUAUCAAUGCAUAUUAAUGUGUUUAUAUCUUUAGAUAAAUUUACUUUAUAAACAUCAACAAUAAGUAUGAUAAAUCCACAUUGAUUAAUAUAUACCUUUCCUGUUGGUUAAUAAGAAAAAUGAAUGAGUACGGUUCGAACAUUGUGCAGCUGCCAGUAUGGCAGUAUGAAAAUAUAGCACAUGUUCUAUGACGUCUGGUGCCAGAUCUGUAGUUGACAUCAGCACAGACUCGGUGUGUUUUGUCACAUUCGUUUUGGACUGGCAGCAUACUCGCCAGACCUGGUGUGUUUUGGGCCUAAGACAGUGGGUUUUUUCAUGCAGUUUAGAAAACUGUACAGAAAAGUGCAUUGUAUUGGGAUCCAUUACACAUUGGUUAUAAUGAUACUCAACAGCAUAAGGGCCAGGAGGAGCAAAACCUCAAAUUCAGGCAAAAUUAUAGAGAUAUUCGGGCAAAAAUUAUAGAGAUAUUCGGGCAAACAUUAUAGAGAUAUUCGGGCAAAAAUGAUAUAGAUAUUCGGGCAAAAUGUGCUAACCUGAAACCUUUUCACCACGUAUUUGCAUCGUUCUACCCUCACAAUUAGUUGUAAUCCAUGUAAAAAUGUGUAGUGAAUUAUUUGCAACCCUAUAUAGCUGUUUGGUAGUAAUGCUAAUAUGAAUAAAUGUUGUUCAGAUUUGGGCGUUUGAUUUGGACAAAUGCCAUUCUGCUCCCCUACAACAACAAAAAAGGGCGCCCGUACGCCUAUGUGCUCAAUGGUUUGUUUGGUCUGCAUUUUUGUUUAAAUCAUUAAUGUUAAGAACAUGCAUGCCACAACAUCGGCACUUAAUUUUACAAUGGUAGAAACUAGAUUGUGUUUUAAACACCAUAUUUAAAGAAAACGUCAGAAUUACAUGUCUAUCUGCUGGCCCUUGAAUUCUGGAUGUUAUAAUUGAGUUGGUGUUAUAUUAAAGUAAUUGGCACAGCAAUAGUGAUUACUUGACGGGCUUUCUGCCAGAAAAUAACUUGAGGGUACAAUGUACGUAUAAAACGAAAACGGAUCCUAAGUCAAGUGCCCCUUGUACAUGUGUAGGUACAUUUGUAGUUUAGGGCUUGAAAUCUGAUAAAACUGGACACUUAAUUUCCUGUACUUUGACAAAUUUUAACCAGCAGUUCUCUUACUAUGAUCUUUCUAAAAAUCCAUUAAUUUCCUGGGUUUUAGGGUAUGUAAUUUUACCUUUCGUAGAAACCACGUUCAAAUUGAAUACAUCUCUACAAUACUAAUUACUCAGCAAAUCCUGGAAAGUUUUUUUACUUGUUUGGUGGUACAACUGUUUUUACAGUAUUGCCUACAGAUUUUCGAAGCUAUCUUGGUCCUACGAUAUGGUAAAAUUGUUGUAAGCUAUGACGUCACAACGUUGCAUGCCAUAGCCUACGAUGGUUUUACGAUAUCGUAGUGUUAAGAUAGCUUUGAAAAUCAGGGCCCUGAAUCAUACUAUAUCCAUUAACACUAUACUAUUAAAAUUUAAUCAUAAUAUACACAUUAACCCUACUAUUAAAAUUUAAUCAUAAUAUACACAUUAACACUACUAUUAAAAUUUAAUCAUAAUAUACACAUUAACACUACUAUUAAAAUUUAAUCAUAAUAUACACAUUAACCCUACUAUUAAAAUUUAAUCAUAAUAUACACAUUAACACUACUAUUAAAAUUUAAUCAUAAUAUACCCAUUAACACUACUAUUAAAAUUUUAUCAUAAUAUACCCAUUAAUACUACUAUUAAAAUUUAAUCAUAAUAUA